This is a long non-coding RNA of Gasterosteus aculeatus aculeatus (three-spined stickleback), 2804 nucleotides long. Lineage: Eukaryota; Metazoa; Chordata; Actinopteri; Perciformes; Gasterosteidae. The record is from Ensembl.
CACACUGGCUGUACAAAGUAGUGACUCAACUUAUUCUGCGCUUAUUUGGACUUAUUAUUUAUUCAGGCUCAAGCCCCACAUAUCGCUCCAAACCCCACCUUCAUUUCCUGCCAGGCCCCAGUGCAAGCUCUCCCUCGUCUGACCUCUCACAGAGCGAACCCCAUGAAUGGACAAUAGUGCCCUUCAGUGGGGCCCCAUGACCAUAGCAAAGCCUGCAGCUGGAGCACAUAGCGAUGCUGCCCUGGCCCGAGGGCACGCCGACAGCUGAGAGGGAUGAAAAGCGGCCCGGAAGCCGUAAGAGGAUGAAGACUUGGAGCUGUUUAUUCGAUGCAGAGGAGAAGUGGCCUUUAGCAGGUGUUUCGGGGGGCUGGAUGGUGAAUUUGGAGCCAAACUGCAUGAGGAUGAACCUCUGGAAAGCCCCGGGCUAUUUUUAAUCAAACAAAGGAAGCGGGAUUAGGCUCGAGGCCGUUACAAAAAAGUCCACUGGAUUUCGUGCCGGAUGUAGAAAGUAAUAAAAGAACAUUUUGUUUUUUUUGGAUGAAAAGACUGAAAGAAUGUUUUUACUGGCAAAACGACUAAGUACAUCGGACGUGCGGUGAUUGGAGUUGUGAAAGACUUCCCAGCCAACGCAACGCCCCGAUGCUCCUCUUCACUCGGCUGCUCUGACCUUUGAUGGAGAGGACUUGGAGAUCAUGUAUACCCUGCAAACAGGGGGCUUGUCUCCAACCUAAUCUGUCCCGGGGGCUGAGAUUGAUGCCGUCCGAGGCUUAGGGGACUUCAAUGCAGACCUGUUCCUUUCAACAGGAUGUGUUACGGCAGGAUUGCAAAUUACCAAAAGUUGUUUAAUCACGGAUUGAUAAGAACAAUAGUUUCCCAGGAUACCAGACCGCCGCGCAUUUAGCUCCCAGACACACAACCUCCCAAACGUCAUUCUUUGUCGCUCUGUUUGCUUAUGGCCCUACUGUUUCUUAAAUAUACAACGGAUCACUCACGCCUACACACGUAGAAUUCAAGACCUGUGACUCCCCUUUGUUUUGCCACAGAUUUCCCCCUCUAUCGCCCUCCGACCCGCCAAACACACACGCUAUUACUCCUCAAACGUCCACGUUCAAAGUUACGGCAAUGCAAGAUUAAAUUUACAGAGAAACCCCGCCCAGCGCGCCUCUCCCUUCUUUCCAGGGACUCGGUAUUUCAACACAGGCCGGGUGUAUAUAUAUAAAUAUAUAUAUAUACACACAUAUGAGCGUGGGCCCCACCCCGCAGCUGUGCACCUGGAACUGUUCCCAUUCCAGCACGGCAGUGAACCCACACCUGUUCACACCUGAGGCCUGCGCCUCUGGACCGCCACCUACCAGCCUGCCUUUUGUUUCAUCCAUCAACUGCUGCGGCUGACACGAGCUGAGGGAGCAGGCGGUUUGAAGAAAAACAUUCAGUCUCAUCAGAGCAAUGUCAAGUAUGUAAAAGUCAUCCACACAUGUGGCGCAUGUGAGAGACGUUGGUGUCUGGUUUGAAUAGAGGUUGGUGUCACUGAGCCAAUUCCACCAGCGUCGAACACAUUACGUUAGCACGAUGAAUUCCCCCUUUUCUUAGUGAGGUGUUACACAGUUUACUGCAUAUGCAAACAGACGAAACCAUUCACGCAAAAAGUGUCAUUUUUGUGAAUAACUUUCAAGGUUUUUUUCCUGGCUAGAUUACAAUGUUAACGUGCAUAAUUUACUGUUUGUCAGAAUUACUGUUUAAGCAUAAACAAAAGUCCUGUCAGACUUCAAUAAAAGUUUCAAUGUCUUAGCUUUCAUUAUGCCAGCUAAAUAACAAUGGCUUUUGUUUCUGUUUACAUCAAAUCAUCCUUUUCACCGCCUGUCAGUGUCCCACAUGGGGGAGUGUGUCGCUUUGCAGCACAAACACUCUCUGCUAAUGACUUGACCACUCCAAACAAAUCUGGGAGGUCCGAGCGCGCACAGCGAGGCUUCCUGCUCUCCCUCAUGGCUGCUGACAGCUGUGAUAUUAGACCAUCUGCUGCGCUCUCUUACUGCUCGUUCACCUCAACAAACUGGGUGGAUUUGACUUGGGAGUUGUCUGCAUCUGUGAGGGUUGAACACCAGCAUAAAAAUUAAAAAAAGUGGGUCAUACACAAACUUGAAGACAACUCCCAAGUCAAUGGGACUUGACUUGGGAGUUGAAGUUGAAAAGUCCUUGAAAUUUUCAACUUGUUGCUGUCUUUGAUCGCCUGUAACUUUCUCUCUUUCUUUCAGUUUGAACGACGUCCAAAAGAAGAGCUUGCAUUUUUGCUGUUAAUAUGAAGCUUUUGUGUGACAUAGCCAGCUUCACUAUGGUAAUCUUAAUCUUUAUAAAUAGAGUAUUUUCUCAAAGAAUACCUGGUGGUGUAUUUUCCACACUUUCAUGUGUGGUUUUGCACUUUUGACCUUUUUUUUAAAAAGUUGGACAACUAAAUAUUUAUAAUAUGUAAAAAUAAAUAUAAAUCUAAUUUUGCUCCAGUUUCAACUUGUGGUUCCUGGCUUUGAACUACAAUGUCUGAAACAUGAAUUAUAUACACAGUGUCCCAAAAUACCUGCAGUAUUAUACUUAUACUUAUAGAAUGGGGCUGCUCUCCCAUGUGAAUAAAAACCUAUACAAGCCAAUAAUGACUCACAUGAUGUAAUAUGGAUGUUGCAUUGCAUAAUUGUAUGCCAGUAACCAUCUCUCAAAAGAUUAAGUUAUAUCCUGUUAGUAUAUAUUAAAAAAAUAUCUUAAUUAGUAAUUUGUAACAAUUCAUUGUUUCUUGCAGCUAAGGUCCUGACACAUUU